This 301-nucleotide ribosomal RNA is filed under the name uncultured bacterium. RNAcentral's name for it is "partial 16S ribosomal RNA". It matches the Rfam family "Bacterial small subunit ribosomal RNA", at positions 509 to 809 of the family's 1533-position model. The record is from RNAcentral.
CAGUAGCCGCGGUAAUACGGAGGGGGCUAGCGUUGUUCGGAUUUACUGGGCGUAAAGCGCACGUAGGCGGAUCCUUAAGUCAGAGGUGAAAUCCCAAGGCUCAACCUUGGAACUGCCUUUGAUACUGGGGAUCUCGAGUUCGGGAGAGGUGAGUGGAACUGCGAGUGUAGAGGUGAAAUUCGUAGAUAUUCGCAAGAACACCAGUGGCGAAGGCGGCUCACUGGCCCGAUACUGACGCUGAGGUGCGAAAGCGUGGGGAGCAAACAGGAUUAGAUACCCCUGUAGUCCCUGUCUCUUAUAA